This 297-nucleotide unclassified non-coding RNA is filed under the name plant metagenome. RNAcentral's name for it is "partial contains internal transcribed spacer 2 and large subunit ribosomal RNA". The stretch from base 1 to 104 matches the Rfam family "5.8S ribosomal RNA", at positions 50 to 154 of the family's 154-position model. The record is from RNAcentral.
GAAACGCGAUACGUGAUGCGAAUCGCGGGAACCAGCGAGCCAUCCAAUCUUCGAACGCACCUUGCGCUCCCGGUACCCCCGGGAGCACGCCUGUCCGAGUGUCAUUUCACCACUCAAGCCUCGCUUGGUAUUGGGCAACGCGGUCCGCCGCGUGCCUCAAAUCGACCGGCUGGGUCUUCUGUCCCCUAAGCGUUGUGGAAACUAUUCGCUAAAGGGUGCUCGGGAGGCUACGCCGUAAAACAAACCCAUUUCUAAGGUUGACCUCGGAUCAGGUAGGGAUACCCGCUGAACUUAAGC